Molecule: ribosomal RNA, 407 nt
Filed under: Haemophilus influenzae
Lineage: Bacteria; Pseudomonadati; Pseudomonadota; Gammaproteobacteria; Pasteurellales; Pasteurellaceae
Description: bacterial LSU rRNA
Rfam family: Bacterial large subunit ribosomal RNA
Source: RNAcentral
UCGGCUCAUCACAUCCUGGGGCUGAAGUAGGUCCCAAGGGUAUGGCUGUUCGCCAUUUAAAGUGGUACGCGAGCUGGGUUUAGAACGUCGUGAGACAGUUCGGUCCCUAUCUGCCGUGGGCGUAGGAUGAUUGAUUGGGGCUGCUCCUAGUACGAGAGGACCGGAGUGGACGCAUCACUGGUGUUCCAGUUGUCUCGCCAGAGGCAUUGCUGGGUAGCUAAAUGCGGAAGAGAUAAGUGCUGAAAGCAUCUAAGCACGAAACUUGCCAAGAGAUGAGUCAUCCCUGACUUUAAGUCAGUAAGGGUUGUUGUAGACUACGACGUAGAUAGGUCAGGUGUGUAAGUGUAGUGAUACAUUGAGCUAACAGAUACUAAUUUCCCGAGAGGCUUAACUAUACAACGCUCAAG